AUUCCAGCUCUAAUAGCGUAUAUUAAGGUUGUUGCGGUUAAAAAGCUCGUAGUCGGAUGUCGGGCUCGGGGAGGCUGUCGGCCUUUGGUCGGACGGCAUGUCCGGGCCUUUCUGCCUGGGUAUCCUAUUCUACUUAACUGUAGGGUAGUGGGACGCAGGCCGUUUACUUUGAAAAAAUUAGAGUGUUCAAAGCAGGCCUACGCUUGAAUACAUUAGCAUGGAAUAAUGGAAUAGGACUUUGGUCUUAUUUGUUGGUUUAUGGGACCGAAGUAAUGAUUAACAGGGACAGUUGGGGCCGUUUAUAUUUCGUUGUCAGAGGUGAAAUUCUUGGAUUUACGAAAGAUAAACUUCAGCGAAAGCAAUCGGCAAGGAUGUUUUCAUCA
Molecule: ribosomal RNA, 383 nt
Filed under: Rhodomonas sp.
Lineage: Eukaryota; Cryptophyceae; Pyrenomonadales; Pyrenomonadaceae
Description: partial small subunit ribosomal RNA
Rfam family: Eukaryotic small subunit ribosomal RNA
Source: RNAcentral